Molecule: long non-coding RNA, 307 nt
Filed under: Vigna radiata
Lineage: Eukaryota; Viridiplantae; Streptophyta; Magnoliopsida; Fabales; Fabaceae
Description: long non-coding RNA (VRAD_LNC002942)
Source: RNAcentral
AUAUGCAGGGAUUUGUUGCAAUGCUUCAGUCAAUGGAAUAAUAAUCUCCAAGUUUUUGAAGAUCUCAUUAAAACACCCAAAUUAUUUCUCUUUUUUCUUCCUGGAAUAACUCUUUGGGUAAGGAAGAGAUUUCUCAACUAUUUUUUCCUUUUUUCUCUCGUCCUCUUCUUCUUCUUUUUCCUCCCCCUCAUCAUUCUCCUUUUCUCUCUUUUUCUCUACCUCACCUUUUCUCUGUUCAUUUUCUUCUUCUUUUUCACUCAACUCAGCUUUUUGUUUUCUUUCAAUUUUUCUCUCAUCUAACAUCUCA